GAUGAACGCUGGCGGCGUGCCUAACACAUGCAAGUCGAGCGACCACACGAGGAGCUUGCUCCUCUGCCGUUAGCGGCGGACGGGUGAGUAACACGUGGAUACCCUCCCUAUAAGACUGGGAUACCUUCGGGAAACCGGAGCAAUACCCCGAUAUUUUUUUGAAUCACAUGGUUUAUUAGCUAAAGACGGUUUUGCUGUCACUUUUAGAUGGUUCCGCGCCGCAUUAUCUAGUUGGUAAGGUACCGGCUUAACACUGCAACGAUGCGUAGCCGACCUGAGAGGGUGGUCGGCCAGACGGGAGCAGAGACACGGUCCAGAGUCCUGCGGGAGGCAGCAGUAGAGAAUCUUCCGCAAUGGGGGAGAGAGUGACGGAGCAACGCCGCGUGAGUGAUGAUGGUCUACGGAUCGGAGAACUCUGUUAGUAGGGAAGAAGAAAUGUGUAAGUAACUAUGCACGUCUUGACGGUACCUUAUCAGAAAGGCACGGCUAACUACGUG
This 497-nucleotide ribosomal RNA is filed under the name uncultured bacterium. RNAcentral describes it as "partial 16S ribosomal RNA". It matches the Rfam family "Bacterial small subunit ribosomal RNA", at positions 28 to 507 of the family's 1533-position model. The record is from RNAcentral.